UGAGGAAUAUUGGUCAAUGGGCGUAAGCCUGAACCAGCCAAGUCGCGUGAGGGAAGACGGCCCUAUGGGUUGUAAACCUCUUUUGUCGGGGAGCAAAGCCGCCCACGUGUGGGCGGAAGGAGAGUACCCGAAGAAAAAGCAUCGGCUAACUCCGUGCUAGCAGCCGCGGUAAUACGGAGGAUGCGAGCGUUAUCCGGAUUUAUUGGGUUUAAAGGGUGCGUAGGCGGCAUGGUAAGUCAGCGGUCAAAUCGAGGGGCUCAACCCCUUUCCGCCGUUGAAACUGCCGUGCUUGAGUGGGCGAGAAGUAUGCGGAAUGCGUGGUGUAGCGGUGAAAUGCAUAGAUAUCACGCAGAACUCCGAUUGCGAAGGCAGCAUACCGGCGCCCGACUGACGCUGAGGCACGAAAGCGUGGGGAUCGAACAGGAUUAGAUACC
This 434-nucleotide ribosomal RNA is filed under the name uncultured bacterium. Its description in RNAcentral is "bacterial SSU rRNA". It matches the Rfam family "Bacterial small subunit ribosomal RNA", at positions 355 to 786 of the family's 1533-position model. The record is from RNAcentral.